GGGCUUGUAGCUCAGUGGAUAGAGCGUUUGCCUCCGGAGCAAAAGGCCGUGGGUUCGAAUCCCAUCAAGCCCACCA
RNAcentral lists this transfer RNA (76 nucleotides) under Bifidobacterium lemurum. Its description in RNAcentral is "tRNA-Arg". It matches the Rfam family "tRNA". Rfam says of the family: Transfer RNA (tRNA) molecules are approximately 80 nucleotides in length. Their secondary structure includes four short double-helical elements and three loops (D, anti-codon, and T loops). Lineage: Bacteria; Bacillati; Actinomycetota; Actinomycetes; Bifidobacteriales; Bifidobacteriaceae. The record is from RNAcentral. RNAcentral also lists the same sequence under 1 other name.